GGAUGAACGCUGGCGGUCUGCUUAACACAUGCAAGUCGAACGAACUCUUCGGAGUGAGUGGCGGGACGGGUGAGUACGCGUGAGAAUCUGCCUGUGGGUCGGGGACAACCACUGGAAACGGUGGCUAAGUACCGGAUGAGCCGAAAGGUAAAGAUUUAUUGCCCACAGAUGAGCUCGACGUCGUGAUUAGCUAGUUGGUAAGUAAAAGCGUACCAAGGCGACGAUCAGUAGCUGGUCUGAGAGGAUGAGCAGCCACACUGGGACUGAGACACGGCCCAGACUCCUACGGGAGGCAGCAGU
RNAcentral lists this ribosomal RNA (300 nucleotides) under uncultured bacterium. Its description in RNAcentral is "bacterial SSU rRNA". It matches the Rfam family "Bacterial small subunit ribosomal RNA", at positions 27 to 355 of the family's 1533-position model. The record is from RNAcentral.